ACCUUGAAAUACCACCCUUUAAUGUUUGAUGUUCUAACGUGGACCCGUAAUCCGGGUUGCGGACAGUGUCUGGUGGGUAGUUUGACUGGGGCGGUCUCCUCCUAAAGAGUAACGGAGGAGCACGAAGGUUGGCUAAUCCUGGUCGGACAUCAGGAGGUUAGUGCAAUGGCAUAAGCCAGCUUGACUGCGAGCGUGACGGCGCGAGCAGGUGCGAAAGCAGGUCAUAGUGAUCCGGUGGUUCUGAAUGGAAGGGCCAUCGCUCAACGGAUAAAAGGUACUCCGGGGAUAACAGGCUGAUACCGCCCAAGAGUUCAUAUCGACGGCGGUGUUUGGCACCUCGAUGUCGGCUCAUCACAUCCUGGGGCUGAAGUAGGUCCCAAGGGUAUGGCUGUUCGCCAUUUAAAGUGGUACGCGAGCUGGGUUUAGAACGUCGUGAGACAGUUCGGUCCCUAUCUGCCGUGGGCGCUGGAGAACUGAGGGGGGCUGCUCCUAGUACGAGAGGACCGGAGUGGACGCAUCACUGGUGUUCGGGUUGUCAUGCCAAUGGCACUGCCCGGUAGCUAAAUGCGGAAGAGAUAAGUGCUGAAAGCAUCUAAGCACGAAACUUGCCCCGAGAUGAGUUCUCCCUGAGACUUUAGGUCUCCUGAAGGAACGUUGAAGACGACGACGUUGAUAGGCCGGGUGUGUAAGCGCAGCGAUGCGUUGAGCUAACCGGUACUAAUGAACCGUGAGGCUUAACCUUACAACGCCGAAG
Molecule: ribosomal RNA, 754 nt
Filed under: Salmonella enterica subsp. enterica serovar Muenchen
Lineage: Bacteria; Pseudomonadati; Pseudomonadota; Gammaproteobacteria; Enterobacterales; Enterobacteriaceae
Also listed under: 1 other name
Description: partial 23S ribosomal RNA
Rfam family: Bacterial large subunit ribosomal RNA
Source: RNAcentral